UACGUAGGUGGCAAGCGUUAUCCGGAUUUAUUGGGCGUAAAGAGAACGCAGGCGGUCUUUUAAGUCUGAUAUGAAAGCCUUCGGCUUAACCGGAGUAGUGCAUUGGAAACUGGGAGACUUGAGUGCAGAAGAGGAGAGUGGAACUCCAUGUGUAGCGGUGAAAUGCGUAGAUAUAUGGAAGAACACCAGUGGCGAAAGCGGCUCUCUGGUCUGUAACUGACGCUGAGGUUCGAAAGCGUGGGUAGCAAACAGG
Molecule: ribosomal RNA, 253 nt
Filed under: uncultured bacterium
Lineage: Bacteria
Description: partial 16S ribosomal RNA
Rfam family: Bacterial small subunit ribosomal RNA
Source: RNAcentral